Molecule: ribosomal RNA, 119 nt
Organism: Erinaceus europaeus (western European hedgehog)
Lineage: Eukaryota; Metazoa; Chordata; Mammalia; Eulipotyphla; Erinaceidae
Source: Ensembl
AUCUAUGUCCAUACCACCCUGAACACACCUGAUCUCCUCUGAUCUCAGAAGCUAACCUGGGUCGGGCAUGGUUAGUACUUGGAUGGGAGACAUUAGGGGCUAAGAUCUCAACAUAUGAA